This 444-nucleotide long non-coding RNA is filed under the name Triticum aestivum (bread wheat). RNAcentral describes it as "long non-coding RNA (TAES_LNC023523)". Lineage: Eukaryota; Viridiplantae; Streptophyta; Magnoliopsida; Poales; Poaceae. The record is from RNAcentral.
UAUUUCUCGUAACUGACGGUUGAGCUCCAUCGUUGCUCGUGCGGCUUCAACCUCACGCUGGUUGUCCGCUUGCGACGUCACCGCUACAGCCUGGCCAGUGCCGCGGCCCAUCGAGCCUGCAUCCGUGCUGCGAUUCAGGAAUGCACGGAGAUAGACCUUCUCUGACUUGAAGAAACCACAUCCGCCCGGCCUCCCCUACAGAAUCACAACGAAACUACUACUCGGUCAAGGGGGGAAUCAUUAUGGAACCAAUUAUGCAACAAACAAAAUGAAUGUUUAUAGCAUCCUAUCUAAUACGUGUGAGCACUCUCAGGAUCUGGUCCACCGCGGAUCACCGUGGAUAUACAUGCUUACCAUGUAGUAUGGGCACUUGUAGAAUCGCUGCCCUUCGGUCUCAGGCCUCGUCGAAACGAUCAAUUCCACUUGCGUUCUUCCACAGAACGG